RNAcentral lists this ribosomal RNA (250 nucleotides) under uncultured bacterium. Its description in RNAcentral is "partial 16S ribosomal RNA". The stretch from base 1 to 191 matches the Rfam family "Bacterial small subunit ribosomal RNA", at positions 118 to 310 of the family's 1533-position model. The record is from RNAcentral.
UGAGCAAUCUGCCCUUCACAUCGGAAUAACCAUUGGAAACGAUGGCUAAUACCGAAUAUGACUUCGGAUCGCAUGAUCUGAAGUGGAAAGCUCCGGCGGUGAAGGAUGAGCUCGCGGCCUAUCAGCUUGUUGGUGAGGUAACGGCUCACCAAGGCGACGAUCAGUAGCCGACUGAGAGGGUGAUCCGGCCAACAGUUUAGGGAAACCUGGAACGGAAACCCGUAACGGGUUACCCCCUAAAAAAACCCGG